AAAUGAUUGAUUUAUACAUUUAAUGAAAGGGAAACUGUGAAAGAGUCAUAAAACUAUGGACCAGCAAGCAGGUGUCUACGAAACUCCAGCUCAUCAGCAAAGUAUCCAGAAAAUUCUCCAAGGAUAAAACCCCCAGACUUUCAGAAGAAGCCAUCUUCUUCAAAAUCCAUAUAAACCAACUUCUUGGUUUCUGACGGGAGGAGGGAGGCAGACUCCCCUCUCCGCGGAGGGCGAGGCGCCUCUGGGAGGAGGAGGACCGAGAGAAAGGGUCUCCAACAGCGAACCUUUGUCCCGGAAUGCAGAUGAGCCAGCCGCGCGCAGACAAUGCCCGCCCAGUCCUCGCUGCCCCCAUCCAUCUGCGGCUAUUUUGUUAACCCGAUGUUUCUUACAUUCUUUCUCUCGCGCAGAAUACUUGAUGUUGACAGCUGUGAAUUUUAAACAACCAUUCUGGGUAUGUUUUCCUAAUUUUGUGUAUUCAGAUUGUUUUUCCGUAUUGGGGGUGGGGGCUGGCAGCCAAGUACCUUACAGUUCCUUCAUUGAGAGAUUUCAUGCCUUUCCAAAGUGGUGGAGAUUCCGAUUGCUAAACACAAAGUAGAAAUUAAAUGUGCGCACCC
This 614-nucleotide long non-coding RNA is filed under the name Fukomys damarensis (Damara mole-rat). RNAcentral describes it as "lncRNA (ENSFDAG00000024665.1)". Lineage: Eukaryota; Metazoa; Chordata; Mammalia; Rodentia; Bathyergidae. The record is from RNAcentral.